AUACUUACCUGGACAGGGUCAAUGGUUGAUCAAGAAGGGCCAUGGCCUAGGAAAAUGAUCUCCAUUGCACUUUGGAGGGGUGUUUUGCUAAGGUCUCCCCAAGUGGGAGAGCCUAUGUCAUAAUUUGUGGAAGUAGGGGCUUGCGUUCGCGCAGCCCCUGC
Quercus robur (English oak) is the source of this 161-nucleotide small nuclear RNA. RefSeq annotates it as U1 spliceosomal RNA. The transcript has a single exon. The record is from RefSeq and is a predicted model, not a curated record. NCBI's taxonomy places the organism in Eukaryota, Viridiplantae, Streptophyta, Magnoliopsida, Fagales, Fagaceae.